Long non-coding RNA from Lotus japonicus, 214 nucleotides. RefSeq lists it as uncharacterized. The transcript is spliced from 3 exons. Lineage: Eukaryota; Viridiplantae; Streptophyta; Magnoliopsida; Fabales; Fabaceae. The record is from RefSeq and is a predicted model, not a curated record.
AACGGAGGAGGUUGAAUCUGGAAAGUUCAUAAGGAAAUAUGAGAAAACCGUAGAGCUUAUCCGCAACUGCGUCGGAAGGGUUUACCAUACCAAUUAGUGUUACCCUUCAAGAAUUACGGCAGAGACUUGAGGACUUAGGAGCAAAGCUCCAACUGUGGAAGUGAUGCUCAAGAAUUUGACUAUUGAGGUUGAUUCCUAUGUUGUCAGCACUCAG